CAAAAGCCCAAAAGGAAGCCACGGCUAACUCUGUGCCAGCAGCCGCGGUAAUACAGAGGUGGCGAGCGUUGUUCGGUAUUAUUGGGCGUAAAGAGCACGUAGGUGGUUUUGUAAGUCAGGUGUGAAAGCCUUCUGUUCAAAGGAAGAACGGCAUCUGAAACUGCAGAUCUUGAGUGUAGGAGGGGAGAGUGGAACUUCUGGUGGAGCGGUGAAAUGCGUAGAUAUCAGAAGGAACGUCGGCGGCGAAAGCGACUCUCUGGCCUAUUACUGACACUGAGUGUGCGAAAGUUAGGGGAGCAAACGGGAUUAGAUACCCCGGUAGUCCUAACCGUAAA
This 335-nucleotide ribosomal RNA is filed under the name uncultured Planctomycetales bacterium. RNAcentral describes it as "bacterial SSU rRNA". It matches the Rfam family "Bacterial small subunit ribosomal RNA", at positions 473 to 806 of the family's 1533-position model. The record is from RNAcentral. Lineage: Bacteria; Pseudomonadati; Planctomycetota; Planctomycetia; Planctomycetales.